UUGAGUCUCUCGAGACUCACCUAUAUCGCGAUUCGCUAUCUUGCUUACGACAUAGAGAUGUCACCGGUGACAUGAGGGCAUGGUAUGCUUGGUCGAGUCCCUCGAGGGUAUCAUCAAAUCAGACUCAUCUUGUAACGAAGGUGUUGACUUAACCGAGCAUCAUGGUUGGUCGAGUCCCUCGAGGCCAUGGUGAUUCGGAGGCCGAACAGGACGGGAAUCACAAGGAGUUGUGAUCGGCAAGAGUUGCCUACCUUUUAGGCUUAGUGUGAUUGGUCGAGUCCCUCGAGGUUACACUAAGACGCUGAUUGGAUCCUGAUCCCUACUAGAAGUCUACCGGAGACUUCCGUUU
Molecule: long non-coding RNA, 349 nt
Filed under: Musa acuminata (dwarf banana)
Lineage: Eukaryota; Viridiplantae; Streptophyta; Magnoliopsida; Zingiberales; Musaceae
Description: long non-coding RNA (MACU_LNC007042)
Source: RNAcentral